Molecule: ribosomal RNA, 442 nt
Filed under: uncultured bacterium
Lineage: Bacteria
Description: partial 16S ribosomal RNA
Rfam family: Bacterial small subunit ribosomal RNA
Source: RNAcentral
CCUACGGGAGGCAGCAGUGGGGAAUAUUGGGCAAUGGGCGCAAGCCUGACCCAGCAACGCCGCGUGAAGGAAGAAGGCUUUCGGGUUGUAAACUUCUUUUAAGAGGGACGAGCCGAAGACGGUACCUCUUGAAUAAGCCCCGGCUAACUACGUGCCAGCCGCCGCGGUAAUACGUAGGUGGCAAGCGUUGUCCGGAUUUACUGGGUGUAAAGGGCGUGUAGCCGGGCUGACAAGUCAGAUGUGAAAUCCCGUGGCUCAACCACGGAACUGCAUUUGAAACUGUCGGUCUUGAGUAUCGGAGAGGCAGACGGAAUUCCUAGUGUAGCGGUGAAAUGCGUAGAUAUCAGGAAGAACACCGGUGGCGAAGGCAGCCUGCUGGACGACAACUGACGGUGAGGCGCGAAAGCGUGGGGAGCGAACAGGAUUAGAUACCCUAGUAGUC